Molecule: long non-coding RNA, 734 nt
Organism: Asparagus officinalis (garden asparagus)
Lineage: Eukaryota; Viridiplantae; Streptophyta; Magnoliopsida; Asparagales; Asparagaceae
Exons: 2
Source: RefSeq, a predicted model, not a curated record
AAAAAAGAAAAAAAGUGAAAACUCAACUACAUAACAAAGAAGUUUGGCAUUGUCUAGUCAGAUCCAUAGAAAUAAGGUACAAUGAGAUUGUGUAAGGUAAGCUGUGAUUGAUAAUGCCCUUAGGGACCUUUAUCUUAAUAAAGGUUCAUGCACAUUAAGCUGGACACCAAAGAAUGCAGUUCAUUGUUCAAGCAAAUUCAUUCAAGCAACAGAUAUCAAAUACCGGCAAUGCUUUGCACAGCUUUCUCUUCACUAUCUUUGGAGUCUUGGAGGUUAUCGGGUAUAAAGACCCAAUUGAAAUGUUAAAGAAUAAAACUAUGUGAAGUUACGCCUAGCAUGCGCCCUACGUGAAGCACAUGUCACUUGCAAGGUGCAAAAGGCACUGCUGCAUCAAAUGUGUGGCGCUACGUUAUUGCCCUGCACCGUAGGGCGCAUGAGGCGCGCGCCUUUGAAAACACUGGCUCGGAUAUGACUAUAUAAAGAGCAUGUUGGCGGGUAGCAAGGUACAGCAAAAGGGGAGAAGUACAAAGAAAUCAAGAGAGCGUCAACAGUCCAGAAUUUCCAACCAGUAGAGAGUUCUAUCCUUGAUCUAAGGGCAAACGUUAUCUGAUCGAGAUGAAAGUUUAGAUUUUUGUUCUUGAGAUGUUGGGUGCUCACAUCCAACGAUUGGAUCAUCAAUUUGAGUCCUCUACAAUAAUCUGUCAUCCACCUUUUGAUGAGUUUGUUUCAUGCUA